RNAcentral lists this ribosomal RNA (469 nucleotides) under uncultured Desulfobacteraceae bacterium. RNAcentral describes it as "bacterial SSU rRNA". It matches the Rfam family "Bacterial small subunit ribosomal RNA", at positions 29 to 478 of the family's 1533-position model. Lineage: Bacteria; Pseudomonadati; Thermodesulfobacteriota; Desulfobacteria; Desulfobacterales; Desulfobacteraceae. The record is from RNAcentral.
AAUGAACGCUGGCGGCGUGCUUAACACAUGCAAGUCGAACGAGAAAGCUUUAGCUUGCUAGAGCGAGUAAAGUGGCGCACGGGUGAGUAACGCGUGGGUAAUCUGCCCUUGAAUUUGGGAUAACACUUCGAAAGGAGUGCUAAUACCGGAUAACAUCUUUUUUAUUGAGGUAAGAAAGAUCAAAGAUAGCCUCUUCCUGAAAGCUAUUGUUUGAGGAUGAGCCCGCGUACCAUUAGCUUGUUGGUGGGGUAAAGGCCUACCAAGGCGACGAUGGUUAGCUGGUCUGAGAGGAUGAUCAGCCACACUGGAACUGGAACACGGUCCAGACUCCUACGGGAGGCAGCAGUGAGGAAUUUUGCGCAAUGGGCGAAAGCCUGACGCAGCAACGCCGCGUGAGUGAUGAAGGAUUUCGGUUCGUAAAGCUCUGUCAAGUGGGAAGAAGUUAUCAUAUAUUAAUAGUGUAUGGUAU